RNAcentral lists this ribosomal RNA (439 nucleotides) under uncultured bacterium. RNAcentral describes it as "partial 16S ribosomal RNA". It matches the Rfam family "Bacterial small subunit ribosomal RNA", at positions 339 to 795 of the family's 1533-position model. The record is from RNAcentral.
CUACGGGCUGCUCCAGUGAGGAAUAUUGCACAAUGGGGGGAACCCUGAUGCAGCAACGCCGCGUGGAGGAUGACGCAUUUCGGUGUGUAAACUCCUUUUAUAUGUCAAGAAAAUGACGGUAGCAUAUGAAUAAGCACCGGCUAACUCCGUGCCAGCAGCCGCGGUAAUACGGAGGGUGCAAGCGUUACUCGGAAUCACUGGGCGUAAAGGACGCGUAGGCGGGUUGGAAAGUCGGGUGUGAAAUCCUACAGCUUAACUGUAGAACUGCACUUGAAACUUCUAAUCUAGAGUAUGGGAGGGGGAGAUGGAAUUAGUGGUGUAGGGGUAAAAUCCGUAGAUAUCACUAGGAAUACCUAAAGCGAAGGCGAUCUCCUGGAACAUUACUGACGCUAAGGCGUGAAAGCGUGGGGAGUAAACAGGAUUAGAUACCCCCGUAGUC